This 253-nucleotide ribosomal RNA is filed under the name uncultured bacterium. Its description in RNAcentral is "partial 16S ribosomal RNA". It matches the Rfam family "Bacterial small subunit ribosomal RNA", at positions 524 to 776 of the family's 1533-position model. The record is from RNAcentral.
UACGUAGGGUGCGAGCGUUAAUCGGAAUUACUGGGCGUAAAGCGAGCGCAGACGGUUACUUAAGCAGGAUGUGAAAUCCCCGGGCUCAACCUGGGAACUGCGUUCUGAACUGAGUGACUAGAGUGUGUCAGAGGGAGGUAGAAUUCCACGUGUAGCAGUGAAAUGCGUAGAGAUGUGGAGGAAUACCGAUGGCGAAGGCAGCCUCCUGGGAUAACACUGACGUUCAUGCUCGAAAGCGUGGGUAGCAAACAGG